RNAcentral lists this non-coding RNA (27 nucleotides) under Mus musculus (house mouse). The record is from RNAcentral. Lineage: Eukaryota; Metazoa; Chordata; Mammalia; Rodentia; Muridae.
UGCUUUUGAUGUUGGACAAAGACCAGU